RNAcentral lists this ribosomal RNA (254 nucleotides) under uncultured bacterium. RNAcentral describes it as "partial 16S ribosomal RNA". It matches the Rfam family "Bacterial small subunit ribosomal RNA", at positions 524 to 776 of the family's 1533-position model. The record is from RNAcentral.
UACGGAGGGUGCAAGCGUUAUCCGGAUUCACUGGGUUUAAAGGGCGCGUAGGCGGUCAGCACAAGUCAGUUGUGAAAUCUCCGAGCUUAACUCGGAAAGGUCAACUGAUACUGUGCGACUAGAGUGCAGAAGGGGCAACUGGAAUUCUCGGUGUAGCGGUGAAAUGCGUAGAUAUCGAGAGGAACACCUGCGGCGAAGGCGGGUUGCUGGGCUGACACUGACGCUGAGGCGCGAAAGCCAGGGGAGCAAACGGG